This 460-nucleotide ribosomal RNA is filed under the name uncultured bacterium. RNAcentral's name for it is "partial 16S ribosomal RNA". It matches the Rfam family "Bacterial small subunit ribosomal RNA", at positions 338 to 795 of the family's 1533-position model. The record is from RNAcentral.
CCUACGGGUGGCAGCAGUGAGGAAUAUUGGUCAAUGGGCGGGAGCCUGAACCAGCCAAGUCGCGUGAGGGAAGACGGUCCUAUGGAUUGUAAACCUCUUUAGGCGGGGAGCAAUGCCGGGCACGUGUGCCCGGAGGGAGAGUACCCGCAGAAUAAGCAUCGGCUAACUCCGUGCCAGCAGCCGCGGUAAUACGGAGGAUGCGAGCGUUAUCCGGAUUUAUUGGGUUUAAAGGGUGCGUAGGCGGGCUGUUAAGUCAGCGGUAAAAGCCCGGGGCUCAACCCCGGCGAGCCGUUGAAACUGGCUGUCUUGAGAUGUCGAGAGGUAUGCGGAAUGCGCAGUGUAGCGGUGAAAUGCUUAGAUAUUGCGCAGAACUCCGAUUGCGAAGGCAGCAUACCGGCGGCGAUCUGACGCUGAGGCACGAAAGCGUGGGUAUCGAACAGGAUUAGAUACCCUUGUAGUC